GACAAACCUAGUUUUAAAGACAGGGAGCAAGGAAACUAGAGAAGCAAUAAUGACAGGAGUGGUUUAUAUGUUCCUCCUGGAAAUUGGGAAACUGCUGCAACUAGCUCUGGAAGAUGUCCAUGGAGGACAUGAUGGAGAAUUUGUUGAAGGCAUUUGAGGCCACCAACUCUAGUGUAACCACCAUAAAUACCAAUCUGACAUCCAUCAAUCAAUUGGUG
Molecule: long non-coding RNA, 218 nt
Filed under: Capsicum annuum
Lineage: Eukaryota; Viridiplantae; Streptophyta; Magnoliopsida; Solanales; Solanaceae
Description: long non-coding RNA (CANN_LNC015632)
Source: RNAcentral